AACGCGAAGAACCUUACCUGGACUAGAAUGUGAGGGGAUAUCGGGUAAUGCCAGUAGUCCGGGAAACCGCACCCAAAACAAGGUGCUGCAUGGCUGUCGUCAGCUCGUGUCGUGAGAUGUUGGGUUAAGUCCCGCAACGAGCGCAACCCUUAUCAACAGUUGCCAUCAUUAAGUUGGGAACUCUGUUGAGACUGCCGUUGAUAAAACGGAGGAAGGUGGGGAUGAUGUCAAGUCAUCAUGGCCUUUAUGUUCAGGGCUACACACGUGCUACAAUGGAAGGUACAAAACGUCGCAAUCCCGCAAGGGGGAGCUAAUCGCGAAAACCUUCCUCAGUUCGGAUUGGAGUCUGCAACUCGACUCCAUGAAGUUGGAAUCGCUAGUAAUCGCAAAUCAGCAUGUUGCGGUGAAUACGUUCCCGGGUCUGUACACACCG
RNAcentral lists this ribosomal RNA (433 nucleotides) under uncultured bacterium. Its description in RNAcentral is "bacterial SSU rRNA". It matches the Rfam family "Bacterial small subunit ribosomal RNA", at positions 958 to 1392 of the family's 1533-position model. The record is from RNAcentral.